This is a non-coding RNA of Cicer arietinum (chickpea), 14820 nucleotides long. NCBI's taxonomy places the organism in Eukaryota, Viridiplantae, Streptophyta, Magnoliopsida, Fabales, Fabaceae. The record is from RefSeq and is a predicted model, not a curated record.
UGUGGUUUGUCAAUAUGAUGAUAACCUUCUUUGAAGCAUCGAUCGUUGAGUUUUGAUUGGGGAAGGUAAUAUGUGAAACACACAAUUCCUUCUGGUUCUUUCUUACUAGUUGAUAUUUUAUGUUUUCCCUCUGUUCUACUUGGUUAUUUUGGUUUCCCGAUUGAGGUUUUAUUCGGAGUUUGCUGUUCUUAUUUUAAUUAUAUCUGCUGCUAUUAUUGAGUUGUUAGAUCUUUGUUUGUUUGCUCUUCUAAUUCUUCUUUUAUGUCAAUGCUAAUUGUGAUACGUAAGAAUAAUCAAGGUAUGCUCUUAAAAAGAAAGACAAUUGUGAUUCUCAAUAGAAUGCAUAAGACGGAGAACUGCUCCAGAUAUAAUAAUCAGAUUUCUUCAAUUAGUGGUUCUUCAUUUUUUAAUUUCUGGCUUUGAUCAUAAGAAAAAAGAAUAUAAUUGUGAGAAUAUUUUUCUGCAGCGCGAUUUGUCAAACUAAUAACGUUCUUCACGGAGUGUGCCUUGAUGUUUGAUUUGGUGAUUUCUAGUAAAUUCUUUUUGUUUUCAAUAAUUCUCUAUCAAUCAAUUCUGAAAGCGUAUUUUGGUUGAUUUGUUAUUUCGUUUUUGGUGUUGCUGGAUAGUUAAAUCUAUGAACAUGUUAUUCCUUUUGUUUCGAUCUUGUUUUUGUAUGAUCUUUCAUGUAUUUUAUUUUGAUUAUUUUCUGUUUUCUUGAUUCUGAGGUUUGAUUUGGCUCUGGAUUUCAUCGCCGUACAUGUGGAAUUGAAAUAUGAACUUUUUUUUUUUUUUUUGCAGUAUAGUUUUGACACAUUAACAUUCUGUGUAGAGUACCAAGCCUCAGUUUUAAUUUGGUACCUAUACUGUUAUUAUAAAUUAUGUCCAUUUCAUUUCUUUUCGUUCAAUUCAUAUCAACCAGACCAGUUUUCUCGAUUACUCUUUUAUGAUUUCCACUGUUUAAGGUCAGACGAGUCUAUUGGUGUGUGUGGUAAGAGUUGGUUGUUAUAAUUGAGAAGUUGAGCCUUAGGUUUUUUUUUAGUUCUUAUCAUUAAUACUUCUUUUUUCUUACAAAUGUUUGUUCUACAUUUGGUUUUUGAUUUGUAUUCUUACAGUUCAAAAGUUUACAUGAUUCUGGAAAAAUUGGGAGAACAUGGUGGGGCUCUCUUUGUUCUGAUGAUAUGCAACAUGGUUUGCAGAAUUAUGCUACUCUUCUAUCUUUUUUCUUGGUCUUUUGUGCAUCUAUUUGUCACUGCAAAAUUUUCUGUACCUGUACCAUCUGGUGUUUCAUGGCUUGAUGUUAAUGCACGUUUUAGUUCGCUCUCUGAAGUAGAAAAAUUGGAGAUGAGUGCCCUUCUGUUUUGUACAACUAAUCUUCUUGGAACAUAUUAACAAGGACUCAUGAACCAUAAUGUCAUGCUGGCUGUUCAUAUAUUUCAUAGGCAAUAAUUUCAGCAUGCACACUCCUCGAUUCCUUUAUGAAAGCUUAGGGGGUGAGAUUAUCAACUCCAUUCAAAUUUUGGAGAUAAUUAACCAUUUUUUAGUCAUACAUUUCCUACUAAUGUUUAUUCAGGAUUGUUGUCCUCUGUGUAGAAUCCAAUGUUGAUGUUUUGGUGUAUGCACAGUUUUUCUGGUUUAGCAUACAUGGGUGGUGUAUCUUUGGGUGACAACUCGGCUGGGAAGAGAUAAUAUUCUGUUAAUGUUUUGUUGUUAUUUGUGAUUUGUGGUUGGUAUAUUCCUAAAAGGAUAUUGUCUUUGUUACAGUGGCAGAAGGACUCGUCUGUAGUUGGAAGAAGCAAAAAUUGUGUCAUUUCAUACAAAUACAUCAUCUUGCAAAUUGGAUGGAAAUUUGUUCCUAUGAUUCCUCGUCUAUUGCCGGCUGUUUUGUAUACUUUCUACUGCUGCUAGACUUUAUAUUUGGUCAGCUCUACGAACCAUCUUCACAUUUCAUUCUUUGUUUGAUACUUAACUUAUACUUUUUUCAGUUCCUUUGAGGUUUCUGUGUGUGGAAGUUACAGUUGAGAUAGCCUAUGAUUGUGUGGUUCGCUAUGGAAACCGUGGCAUGAAAAAGUUCAGUUCACAUACGCUUCGCAAGAUUAUGUAGUGUUGAAGCAUACAAGAUUCUAGAACCUUUGCCUUCCCCGAGGAUGUGGAAUUCAGGAUAACUUGGUUUGGCACUUUUUUGUACUGUCGAUUUGCCAUUCCUUUUGUUAUCUUUUUUUUCUCUAUAUUAUUGUCUAUUGGGAUAUAUAAGAAUAAGAGUAAGGACAAAAAUAAUAUCAUUCCACAAGUUGUACAAGAUCUUUGGUGUAGGGGUGCUGUCAAAUUUUGUAUAGGAGGACUAGAAUCUACAAUUGACUGUCAUAUUGUCAAAGUUGUUGUUCUUUCAUUUGGUUGACUCUACUUUUGAUUGAAUUGUUCACGUUUUUGUCUGUUGAUCAUCUUGUGUGGGUAUCAAGAGGAGGAUGUAGAGUGAAAGCCAUGGCAGAGAUUAUCAAAAAGAGAGCCUAUGAAUGUAUCAUUCGAUGUGAAAGCUGUUGCGGACAUUUUAAGGACAUGCUUUAAGCCUAAUUUUGCAUCGGAGCUCUGGAAUCUACAAUUGGUUGUGUCCUAUAUCAUUGGAUGUGAAAGCUGUUGCAGACAUUUUAAGGACAUGCUUUAAGCCUAAUUUUGCAUAGGAGCUCUAGAAUCUACAAUUGGUUGUGUCCUAUAUUGUAGGGAUCUGAAGUCUGAGUACAAAGGAUUAGAACGGAGAAUGUAUCUAGAUAGAGAAAUCAAGUUUCUUCAAUGAGUCGUUCAUCAAUUUUUAAUUUUAUUUUCUUGCUUUUAACAGAUAAGUGUGUUCUAAUGUUUGUUCUUGUUUUGUGUUCUACUCGUUUGUGAUGAAAUCUAUUUCUUGAUUCCAAUUUUUUCUAGCCUGAUCGCUCCUAUUAAAAUAGAUCGUUAUGAAUUUGCAUACUGAUACGUUUCUUCUCAAAUAGUUGAUAUCAAGAAUUUCACAAUUCUCUUGACUCCUCUUAUACAAAUCGGUUAUCAAGAAUUAUUUAUAUAACUUUUUGGAUAUAAUUCUUCAUCAUUUGAUUGAAAAUCAAGAUAUGCGUUUAUCCGUUUUGCAGCAUUAUGAAGUCUGAGUACAAAGGAUUAGAACGGAUAACAUAUCCAGAUAGACAAAUCAAGUUUCUUCAAUGAGUCGUUCUUUUAUUUUUAUUUUUAUUGUUAUUUUCUUUCUUUGAUUGCAAGACAUACGAAUUACGAACCUGUUUUUCCGCAGCAUGAUUUGUUGAAAUAAUACCGUUCUUCAUAGCAAAGAAUAAAUGGAUGCUCGAGUUUUGUUUGGUGAUCUCUAGUUAAAAAAGAAAUUCAUUUCAAUCUUUAUUUUUAGAUUCUGAGAGCAUAUUUUCUGUAAGUAAAAUAUUUCUGUUUUCAUUCUUGAUUUUGUUCAUCUUUGGUGUUGCAGGAGAGGUAAUCUGUUCACACAAUUCCUUCUUGGUUCUAUCUUCCGCUUCUUUGAUCUUGAUGUUUUGUAUUCUUAUUCUCUUAUCCUUUAUCAUAUAGGUUCUUGAUUUUGUUCUUGCUAAUUUCUUUCAUUGAGUUUGUUGUUCUUAUUUGCAUGAUCUGCUGCUAUUUGUGAGUUGUUGGGAGUUCUGAUGCGAGUUUUCUGUUUUUAGACGUUUUGCAAGACAUGGUCAUCAUCCAUCGCCCCUGGUUGAAUUUACUGAAUUUAAUUUCUUCAUUGAAUUGUGUUAUUUUCCUAUUAUGGCUUUGAAUGUUUUGAUCUCCAUACAUGUGAAUUGAAAGACGAACCUGUUUUCUGCAAGGUAGGGUGUUUUGAAGUAAAAUAACACUUUGUGUAGUAUCAAGCCUCAGGUUUACUUUUGUACACUCUUUUUGGAUUGUGAAUUAUUUUCAUUUCAUCUGUGGAGUUUUUAUUGCUAGUGUUCUUGAUUUACUCCUUUAUGAUUUCCACUUGUGAAAGUUUCGGCUUGGGAUUGGUGGUUUAGAAGAGAUUGGGACAGUUUGGUGAGCCUAUCUAAUUGGCGACUUGGUUUGGAGAAUUAUGCUGUUUGUCACCAACUAUUUGUCACAGCGUAAUCUUUCUGUUUAUGUAUCGUCUGAUACUCACAAGGUAAGUGUUACAUGGGUUUGUUGUAACCACAAAAGUCUCUUGUUUUCAAUUUGGUGAUCGCUACUCAGAAGUUUGCUUCUGACUUUUGUUGUCUAGUCAGUAGUCAUUCAAUUUGGAAUAUAAUUAGUUAUUCUUUUAACUUUUGAGUAUAUGAAUUUGUUCUGGACUAUCAUACAAUGUUCUGGAAUAACUCUUUGCCCUUCCUAAGAUGAGGGAUUUUUGACAACUUGGUUACGUCAUAUGUGCUGCUUGUUCUGAUUAUCUGUUUGCUGGGGACAACUUUGUUGGGAGAGGUUUAUGUUAUUGUCUUUUGCUCAUUAGUUGUUCUUGUGUUUAUUUGUGAUUUACGAUGAUAGUCUUAAAAAGAUAUCGUCUUUGUUACAGUGGCCCAAGGACUCAUCUGUAGUAAGAAGAAGCCAAAAUUAUCAUUUCAUAUGGAGUACAUGAUCUUGCAAGUUGGAUGGAAAUUUGCUCCAAUGAUUCAUAAUCUCUUGCAAGCUGUGUCUUAUACUUUUAGCUGUUGCUAGGUUUUAAUUCGGCCAUCUCUACUAAGAAACUUUACAUUUCAUUAUUGUUGAUACUCAGCAUAACUUUUGUCAGUUCCUUUGAGUUUUCUGUGUGGAAGUUACAGGGGAGAUAGCCUAUGAUUGUGUAGUUUGCUGUGGAACUCGUGGCAGGAAGAGGUUCAGUUCUCACACACCCUUAGGAUAAAAACGGUCAUUUUGUAGUUACAUAUCUAAUAUCCUAUUGUUUGGGAUAUUUGUCGUUUGAUGGAGUGCCCUGCUGGUUUUGGAUUUUCUGUGUUGCUGUUUCAGCAAGAUUCUAGAGUGUUGAAGCAUACAAGAUUCUAGAGUAUACCUUUUCCCUCAUCGAGGAUGUGGAAUUAAGGAUAACUUGGUUUGUCAUUUUUUUGUUCUGUUCAUUUGCCACUUCCUUUGUUAUAUUUGUUUCUAUUUUCUUGUCAAUUGUGAUACUUAGGAGUAAGGUUAAGAUAAUAGUAUUAUCUCUAGUUGUACAUGAAUUCCUUCUGGUAUAGGGGUAAAGUCUAAUUUUGCAUUGGAGCACUGGAAUCUACAAUUGGUACAUGAACUCCUUCUGGUAUAGGCGUAAAGCCUAAUUUUGCAUGGGAGCUCUGGAAUCCAAAAUUGAUUGUGUACUAUAUUCUCACGAUUGUUGUUCUUUCAUUUGGUGAUCUCUACUUUGACUAUGGGGAUGGAUGUAGACAGUGAAAGCCAUGACAGAGAUUAUCAAGGACGUCGUGUGGAAGCUGUGUGGACAUAAUGAAGGACAUCCCUUUGGAUUUAGUGGGUCAAUUUUCUCCUUGAAUGUGUUUAUUUUGGAAUUCUAGAAUGGGGUACCGUAUGAUAUUGUAAUGUGGCAAUGUUGAUGUUUGUGUUUUUUUACUGACAGUUGUAAGAGAGGUUCUGAAUGUACAUCUUCUUCAAGGAUAAAUUAAGACAUGCAUUUAUGUGUUUUGCAGUGAGUUAAAGUAUAGAUAUCUAUUACGUCGAGGCUUGUUGGAUGGAUAAGAAAGGGAAAGCCUUAGAUAAAUCAAAUUUCUUCACUGAGUCAUUAUUAUUGUUAUGUCUGGAUGUUGAUCGGUAGACAUACAAUUGAAUUGUGAACUUAUUUCUGCAGUGUGGUUUGUCAAUAUGAUAACCUUCUUCGAAGCAUUGAGUCUUCAAUUUUGAUUGGGUGAUCUCUAGUAUUAUGUUUUUGUUUCAAUAUUUCCUUAUCAAUUCUGAGAGCAUUUAUUUCUAAUUGUUAUUCCCCUUUUGAUUUUGCAGGGGAGGUAAUAUGUGAAACACGCAAUUCCUUCUGGUUCUGUCUUACUGGUUGAUAUUUUCUAUUCUCACUCUUUUCUCCUGGGUUAUUUUGGUUUGCCGAGGUUUUAUUCUGAGUUUUCUGAUCUUAUUUUAAUUAUAUCUGUGGCUAUUAUUGAGUUGUUAGAGUUUUGUUUGUUUGCUCUUCUAAUUCUUCUUUUACGUCAAUGUCAAUUGUAAUACGUAAGGAUAAUCAAGGUAUGCUCUUAAAAAGGAAGGCAAUUGUGAUUCUCAAUACAAUGGAUAAGAUGGAGAACUGCUCCAGAUAUAAUAAUCAAAUUUCUUCAAUUAGUCGUUCUUCAUUUUUUAAUUUCUCGCUUUGAUGAGAAGAAAAAUAAUAUAAUUGUGAAGAUAUUUUUCUGCAGCGCGAUUUGUCAAACUAAUAACGUUCUACAGAGUGUGCCUUGAUGUUUGAUUUGGUGAUCUCUAGUAAAUUCUUUUUGUUUUCAAUAAUUCUCUAUCAAUCAAUUUUGAAAGCGUAUUUUGGUUGAUUUGUUAUUUCCUUUUUGGUGUUGCUGGAUAGUUAAAUCUAUAACAUGUUGUUCCUUUUGUUUCUAUCUUGCUUUUGUAUGAUCUUUCACGUAUUGUAUCUUGAUUAUUUUCUGUUUUCUUGAUUCUAAAGUUUGAUUUGGCUCUGGCUUUCAUCGCCUUACAUGUGGAAUUGAAAUAUGAACAUUUUUUUCGCAGUAUAGUUUGUUUCGACACAUUAACAUUCUGUGUAGAGUACCAGGCCUCAGUUUUAAUUUGGUACCCUAUAAUAUUAUAAAUCAUGUCCAUUUCAUUUCUUCUCUUUCAAUUCCUAUCGACCAGACCAGUUUUCUCGAUUUCCACUGAUUAAGGUAAGAUGAUUGGUGUGUGGUAAGAGUUGGUGGUUAUAAUUAAAAAGUUUAGCCUUAGGGGUUUUCUUAGUCCUUAGCAUUAUUACUUCUUUUUUCUUUCAAAUGUUUGUUCUACAUUUGGGUUUUUGAUUUAUAUUCUUACAGUGCAAGAGUUUACAUGAUUCUGGAAAAAUUGGGAGAACAUGCUGGGGAUCUCUUUGUUUUGAUGAUAUGCAACAUGGUUUGCAGAAUUAUGCUGCUCUUCUAUCUUUUUUCUUGGUUUUUUGUGCAUCUGUUUGUCACUGCAUAAUUUUUUGUAGCUGUAUCAUCUGGUGUUUCAUGGCAUGAUGUGAAUGCACCUUUUAGUUUGCUCUCAGAAGUAGGGAAAUUGGAGAUGAGUGCCCUUCUGCCUUGUACAACUAAUCUUUUGUGAACGAAUUAACAAGGACACAUGAACCAUAAUGUUCUGCUGGUGUUUCAUAUAUUUCAUAGGCAUUAAUUUCAGCUUCCACACUCCUCGACUGCUUUAUGAAAGGUUAGGGGGUGAGAAUAUCAACCCCAUUCAAAUUUUGGAGAUAAUUGACCAUUUUUUAGUCAUAUAUUUCCUACUAAUGUUUGUUCUGGAUUGUUGUCCUCUUACUGUGUACGUCCAAUGUUGAAGUUUUGGUGUCCUCUGGAGUAAAACUUUCGUUCCCAUUAUGACCAAUUUCGGAUAACAUGGUUAGGUGGUGUAUCUUUUGGGGACAACUUGGCUGGGAUGAGAUAAUAUUCUUUUACUGUUCUGUUGUUAUUUGUGAUUUGUGGUUGGUAUACUCCCAAAAAGAUAUCAGCUUUGUUACAGUGGCCAAAGGACUCGUCUGUAGUAAGAAGAAGCAAAAAUUGUGUCAUUUCAUAGAAACAUAGUCAUGCAAAUUGGAUGGAAAUUUGUUCCUAUGAUUCAUCGUCUUUUGCAGGAUGUUUCGUAUACUUUCUACUGCUGAUAGACUUCAUAUUUGGUCAGCUCUACAAACAAUCUUCACAUUUCAUUCUUUGUUUGAUACUCAACAUAAACUUUUGUCAGUUCCUUUGAGGUUUCUGUGUGGAAGUUACAGUUGAGAUAGCUUAUGAUUCUGUGGUUUGCUAUGGAAACCGUGGCACGAAGAAGUUCAGUUCAUAUUACCCUUCGAUAAAAACGGUCAUUUUUUUCUUUACAAAUCUUAUUGUUUUGGGAUAUUUCCCCUUUGAUUGUGUGGUUUGUGUUGGUUUUUUUGUGUUUCUGUUUCAGCAAGAUUCUAGAGUGUACCUUUGCUCUUCCUGAGGAUGUGGAAUUCAGGAUAACUUGGUUUGGCACUUUUUUGUUCUGUGGAUUUUCCAUUCGUUUUGUUAUAUAAUUUUUUUUCUAUAUUAUUGUCAAUUGUGAUAUAUAAAAAUAAGAAUAAGGACAUAAAUAAUAAUAUCAUCCUUCUAGUUGUACAAGAACUUUGGUGUAGGGGUGAGGUCAAAUUUUGUAUAGGAGGACUAGAAUCUAAAAUUGGCUGUGUCAUAUUGUGAAAGUCUUGUGCGGGUAGCACGAGGAGGAUGUAGAGUGAAAGCCAUGGAAGAGAUUAUCAAAAAGAAAGCUUAUGAAUGUACCAUAGGACGUGAAAGCUGUUGCAGACAUUUUAAGGACAUGCGCCUUUGGAUUUAGUGGGUGAUUUUUCUCCUUGAAUUUAUUAAUUCUGGAAUGGGUAUCCUGAUAUUGUAAUUUGCCAAUAUUGAUUAUUGUGUUUUUUAUUACAAGUUUAAGGAGGGCUUCAGUAUUUAUGAUUCUAAAGUACAUGUACAAUUCUUUCAAAGAUAAUUUGAGACUUGUGUUCAUCUGUUUUACAGAAAGAGUUGAAGUUUGGACAUCUAGAGCCUUUUUUGAUACUUGAUGUAUGGAUUAAUUACAGAUUUUGAUCGUAAGACACACUAAUGAAUCGUGAACUUAAUUUUCUGCAGCUUGGUGUAUGAAAAUGAUAAUCAUAGCAUUGAGCCUUCAGUUUUGAUUUUUCUGAUCUCUACUAUAUUCUUUUUGUUUCAGUAUUUCCUUAUCGAUUCUGAGAGAAUUUAUUUCUAAUUGUUAUUUCCCCUUUUGGUGUUGCCGGAGAAGUAAUAUGUGAAAUGCACAAUUCCUUCUGAUUCUAUCUUAUUGAUCUUUAUUAUUCUCACUCUUCUCUCUUUGGUUAUUUUCGUUUCCUGAUUGAGGUUUUAUUUGGAGGUUUGAUGUUCUUGCUGGUUUUGAGCUUGAAGUUUGCUGGUUUCUUCGUUUGAUUAUUUAGAUAGUUGUUGGAUAUAAUUAUGCAUUUGAAAAUUGAAAGAUAAUUGAGAUGUGUGUUUGUUUAUCAGUUAUGCAGCUAGCUGAUUCCUUGAUAUCUACAAUUUUGUGAUUCUCAAUACUGCGGUUAAGACGGAAAUUGGCUCCAGAUAGAAAAUCAAACUUCUGAAAUUAGUCGCUCUUCAUUUAUUUUUAAUUUUUGGCUUUGAUCAGUAGAAAUAAGAAUAUGAUUGUGCACAUGUUUUUCUGCAGCCUGGUUUUAAUAACGUUCAUUAUGGAGUGGUCCUUAAUUUUUUAUUUGGUGAUCUCUAGUAAAUGCUUUUUGUUUUCAAAAAUUCUUUAUCUAUUCUGAAAGUUUAAUUUUGUUGAUUUGUUAUUUUCUCUUUGGUGUUGCAAGCUAGGUAAUCUAUGAACAUGUGAUUCCUUUUGGUUCUAUCUUCUUCUUGUUUUAUCUUUCAUGUUUUGUAUUUUGAUUAUUUUCUGGUUUCUUUAUUAUGAUUUUCACUAUUUCAGGUAAGAUAAGUCUAUUGGUGUGUGGUAAGAGUUGGUGGUUAUAAUUGGAAAGUUGAGCUUUAAAGGUUGUCUUACUGUUAAUACUGCUUUUUUCAUACAAAUGUUUGUUCUACGUUUGGGUUUUUGAUCUGUAAUCUGGCAUUGCAAAAGUUUACACAGUUCUAGAAAAAUUGGGAUGACUUGGUGAGGUCUGUCUUCUUUUUUCUUGGAUUUUUGUGCAUCUAUCUGUCACAACAUAUUUCUUCUGGACAUGUAUCAUUUUAGUGUUACAUGGGUUUCAUGUAAAGUAUCAUUUUCCUUCUUUCUCAAUCACACUGCACCUUUUUAGUUUGCCGUUUGAUGUAUAGAGAAAUUGAAAAUGAGUUCCUUUCUGCUUGGUACAAUAAUGUCAUGAUGGCCGUUCAUAUAUUUCCUAGGCUUUAAUUGCGGCAUCUACACUUCUCGAUUACUUUGCGAAAGAUUAGCCAGUAAGAUCAUCAACCUUUUUGUUCAAUGAGUUAUUUGUUUAUUAUAUUGAUUUCUGUGCUUUGAUCAUAAGACAUACAAAUUGAAUUCUGAACCUGUUUUUCUGCAGUGUGGCAAAGCAUAUUUUUCUUCUAGUAAAUUCUAUUCAUUUAAAUAUUUCUUUAUUGAUUUUGUCAGCCUAUUUUUCUUGAUUUUGGUUUCAUCUUUGUUGUUGCAGGUUCAAUUCCUUCUGGUUCUAUCUUUCGCAGGUUUGAUCUUCUUGUUUUGUAUUCUUAUUCUUUUCUGGUUGUUUAUUUUGGUUUCUUGAUUUUGGGGCUUGAUUUGGUUCUUGCUGGUUUCGAUCUGCGGCUAUUAUUUAGAUUUUAACGGAUUUUUCUUUUAUUAUUUUAAUGAUCUGCAGCUAUUAUUUAGAUUUUAAUUCCCUGUUCUUCCAAUUCCUCUUUCGCGUCAGUUAUUUGAAUAAUAUUCUUCGUUUGAAUAUAGUCAAUUUUAUUCUUCAUUGAAAUGCAUUAUUAUUUUCAUUUUAAUUUCUGGCUUGAUUGUCGCACAUUGAAUUGAAAUAUGGACCUGUUUUCUGCAGUGUAGUGUAUCAAGCCUCAGGUUUGUUUUUGUGCACGCUUCUGAGAUUGUGAAUUAUUUUCAUUUCAUUUCUUCUGUGGAGUUAGAUUGUCUAGUCUUCUUUAUUAUGUAACAGGUGAGAUAAGUCUGUUGAUGUGGAGUGAGGUUACAGGCUUGGGGUUUAUUUACCAGAAUACAGCUUAUAGUUUAUUUUUUACAUUUUGGUUUUAAACCUGUAAUCUGGCAGUGCGGAAGUUCAUACUAUUAUGGAGAGAUUGGGAAAGAUUUUUGAGCCUCUCUUUGUACCUAUGUAUUGCUGCUCGGCAACAUGGUUUGGAGAAUUAUGUUACUCUGUUUUUCUUGGUUUUUCCACAAAUAGUUGUCUCAACAUGUAAUUUUACUGUACAUGUAUCAUGUGGUGUUUCACAAAUCACAGAUAAGUGUAACAAGGGUUGGGUGUACCACAGAAGUCUCCUUUCUUGUCAGGCACACAGAAGUCUCCUUUCUUGUCAGGCACACUUAAUUUCACCUUCUGUAGUGGAUUACAAGAUUCUGGAUAUUUUGGGACAGCUUGGUGGCCUCUUCUAAUGAUCUGCAACUUGGUUUGCAGAAGUAUACUAUUUAUUUUCUAUCUAGGUUUUCUCCAUAUUAAUUAUCACAGCUUAAUUUCUCUGUUCAUAUUGAAUUGAAAUAUGGACCUGUUUUCUGCAGUGUAGUGUAUCAAGCCUCAGGUUUGUUUUUGUGCACGCUUCUGAGAUUGUGAAUUAUUUUCAUUUCAUUUCUUCUGUGGAGUUAGAUUGUCUAGUCUUCUUGAUUAUGUAACAGGUGAGAUAAGUCUGUUGAUGUGGAGUGAGGUUACAACUGAAAGGUUUAGGCUUAGGGUUUAUUUACCAGAAUACGGCUUAUAGUUUAUUUACAUUUUGGUUUUAAACCUGUAAUCUGGCAGUGUGGAAGUUCAUACUAUUAUGGUGAGAUUGGGAAAGAUUUUUGAGCCUCUCUUUGUACCUAUGAAUUGCUGCUCGGCAUCAUGGUUUGGAGAAUUAUGUUACUCUGUUUUUCUUGGUCUUUCCACAAAAAGUUGUCUCAACAUGUAAUUUUACUGUACAUGUAUCAUGUGGUGUUUCACAAAUCACAGAUAAGUGUAACAAGGGUUGGGUGUACCACAGAGGUCUCCUUUCUUGUCAGGCACACAGAAGUCUCCUUUCUUGUCAGGCACACUUAAUUUCACCUUCUGUAGUGGAUUACAAGAUUCUGGAUAUUUUGGGACAGCUUGGUGGCCUCUUCUAAUGAUCUGCGACUUGGUUUGCAGAAGUAUACUAUUUAUUUUCUAUCUAGGUUUUCUCCAUAUUAAUUAUCACAGCUUAAUUUCUCUGUUCAUAUAUCGUCUGUCUGAUAUAGCAAGUGCUCCAUGGGUUUGCUGUAUGCAGCGGUUCCCUUCUUUCUUAGUCACACUGCAGUUUUUUAAGGAGGAAAAAUUUACCAUAAUGUUCUUCUUGUUGUGUUAUACAUAUGAUGUGUACUUCUGAAAGACAUCCUUUUGUUACAGUGGCCCAAGGAUUCCCAUGGUGUCAGGUUAAAGCUUAAAUUAUUUUGUUUCAUAUUGAAUGCAAGAUUCGUAAAAAGGAUGGAAAUUUGUGAUGUUCUAGAAACUGUGUUGUGUAUACUUCAUACUAUUUCUAGGCUUUUAUUUGGUCAUCUGUACUAGGAUAAACUCUUCACAUUUCAGUCUUUGGUGUUCUACAAACUGUAUUAUAUACUUCCUACCUAUAGAGUAUAUGUUUUUUCGGAUGGCAAGGUCAAGAAUUCUCGACUACUUGCUUUGGUGCUGUUUUAUUAUGUUGAUUUUCCACUUCCUUUGUCACAAAUGUUUACUAUUUUUUUUUUGUCAUUUGUGAUUAUAUAGUGAUGAGGAUCUUCUCUCCCAAAUGGGUAUUGGUGACGAGGAAACUUAAAUUUUUGUCGUUUCACAUUGUGCACCAAUCUAUAAUUUGUUGUGGCAUAUAUUCUCGGUGUUGUGCUUUCAUUUUAUGAUCUCUACUCUUACUAAGAAUUUUUACGUCUCUGGCUUUGGUUGAUGAUCUAGGAUAAGGACUGCGAAAUAUGUGGCUUAGUAUUAUCAGAGAUAACUUUGGAAUGUAACGUGGGAUGUGAAAGGUCUAGGAUAUGGACUGUGAAAUCUGUUGUAGAGGGGAUGAAAGCUCUCGAAAAGAAUAAAACUUAGAGUAUCAUGACUCUAUCAGUUAGUAAAAGAAUUGUGGGUUGCAAGUGGAUGUUUACAGUGGAAACUUUGAUGGAUCAAAAAGGUAUAAAGGUUGGUUGUUAAAUAAUUUACUCAGACCUAUGGCAUAGACUGCGCAAACCGUUGCCUUUGUUGCUAAGCUUAACAUAGUUAGAGUUCACCUAUCUCUUAUUGCUAAUUUGGACUGGGUGCUCCCCCAAUUAGAUGUUAAAAAUGCAUUUCUCAAUGAUGAUUUAGAAGAAGUGUAUAUGGAUUGCCUGUAAGUUUUGAAGACAAAUUUGGGUCCCAAGUACGUAAAUUGAGGAAGUCUUUGUAUGGAUUAAAAUCGAUCUAAAAGUGUAGUUUGUAAAAUUUACUUAGUCAAUAAAGAAUCAGAGAUGUAACCGAAGACAAGUUGAUCAUACCUUAUUCACAAAGUUUAGCUCAAAUCAAAUAUACGUUGAUGAUAUUGUUCUUACUGAUGAUGAUGAUGCAAAAAUGGAGAAUAUAAAUGCAAGUUUAGCUGCAUAAUUUGAAAUUGAAGACUUCAAUCUCUUAAAAUACUUUCUUGACGUGGAAGUUACGAGAUAAAAAAGGGGAUAGUAGUCCUCAAAGAAAAUAUGUUGUAGAUCCCUUGCAAGAAACAAGUAUGAGCGGUUGUAGGUUGGCUGACACUUCUAUGUACCAAAUGCUAAAUUUUGGAGGAACGGAGACUCUCUAGUUGAUAUUGAAAAAUAUUUGAGGUUAGUUAAAAAAUUGGUAUACUUGGUUUAUACUUGUUUUGACGUUGCCUUCUCUUUUAUUGUUACUUUAUGCAUGCUCCAUGUGAAGAACAUCUCAAUGCAAUUUACAAAAUAUUGAAAUAUUUGAAGGCAACUCUUGGAAAAGGAUGGUUUUUCAAAAAGAUCAAUGAUAAAAAUAUAGAAAUUUUACUCAUGCAGACUGGAUAGGAUCUGUUAUAGAUAGGAAGUUAACUUCAGGGUAUUGCAUAUAUGUGUUGGAAAUUUGGUAAUUGGAGAAAUAGAAAACAAAGAGUGGUUGCAAGAAGGAGUGCCGAAACAUAGUUAAGGGCAAUGGCACAAGAAAUUUCCGACGUACGUGGAUUGUUUACUUGGCAUUUGUUUCUUACAAUCAAUAGACAACUGACAUAUUAACUAAAAGUUUGAUCCCAACAAAUUUUGAACAUUUGAUAAGUAAAUUGGGCAUAAUUGAUAUCUAUACACCAACUUGAGUGAGUAUUAAAAAUAUCUUGUCAUUAUUAGAACUAUUUACGUUUUUUUUAGUUUUUAUUUAUUUAUAUUUUUUAUAUCACUCUUAAAUUUAAAGAGUUGAAUAAUUGUACUUUCUUUUAUAAAAAGAGUUCUUAUUUGUUUGAAUAAUACUAAUAUUUCACUUUAAAAACUCGUGGCUGGUUGAGGUUAAUACAUGAUGUUUUUCUUACUUUUAUUCUUAAGUCGAACUCUAGGUUCCACUUUUCUUGAAUUACUAACAUGUUAAAUAUUCAAAGUCGUAUUUGUUAAAUUAUGUCAUUUCUUGAAUGAUCAGUCUGAGAGAUUUAAGUAUGCAAAUUGCAAAGCCUUUAGGUGAAGGAAACCUAUUACAGGAGUGAGUUUUUUGAUGUGUUGUUCAUCAUUUGUUAUUGGUUCUGAAUAAUCUUGUCAUUGAAUGGUUCUGCAUUACUUUUUCAGGGAGAUAAUUUGGUUCAUCAUUCAUCUACCUUUUGCACUUUUUUUAUGUAUUCUCUACAUGUUACAUGGAGUCUUUGCGUAUUUGGCGUGUUGUGGAACUUGUGACAGGUUGCGGUUUACACCAUGCUCAGCCUUUGGAUAUGUUUUCCCUUAUAUGGUAGACUAAAAAUGCUUAAGUAGUCAUGAAUCUUCAUUACAUUAUGUAGUAUAUCGAUUUUGGAGUAUUUUUCUUAGCUCUGCUGCUUUUUAAUAUUUUCAGGAAUAUGAUGAAUGUCCUCCAACACUGAAAUUAUAUUUCUUCAUCAUGGUUUUCACAAAAAAAAGUUUUAUGAAUCUGAA